UACGGGGGGGGCAAGCGUUGUUCGGAAUUACUGGGCGUAAAGGGUUCGUAGGUGGCCAACUAAGUCAGCUGUGAAAUCCCUCGGCUCAACCGGGGAACUGCGUCUGAUACUGGUUGUCUUGAGUGCAGGAGAGGAACGCGGAAUUCCAGGUGUAGCGGUGAAAUGCGUAGAUAUCUGGAGGAACACCGGUGGCGAAGGCGGCGUUCUGGACUGCAACUGACACUGAGGAACGAAAGCGAGGGGAGCAAACGGG
This 253-nucleotide ribosomal RNA is filed under the name uncultured bacterium. RNAcentral describes it as "partial 16S ribosomal RNA". It matches the Rfam family "Bacterial small subunit ribosomal RNA", at positions 524 to 776 of the family's 1533-position model. The record is from RNAcentral.